AUGUAAAUUCUUACAACAUAUUGUUAAUGCAUCAGAUCCCAUUAGAACUCUGCAGUUAAGCACGCUUAGGCUAAAGUAGUACUGGGAUGGGUAACCUCCCUAGAAGUCCUAGUGUUUUACAUG
Picea glauca (white spruce) is the source of this 123-nucleotide non-coding RNA. NCBI's taxonomy places the organism in Eukaryota, Viridiplantae, Streptophyta, Pinopsida, Pinales, Pinaceae. The record is from Rfam.